Molecule: ribosomal RNA, 427 nt
Filed under: uncultured bacterium
Lineage: Bacteria
Description: partial 16S ribosomal RNA
Rfam family: Bacterial small subunit ribosomal RNA
Source: RNAcentral
UGGGGAAUAUUGCACAAUGGGCGCAAGCCUGAUGCAGCCAUGCCGCGUGUAUGAAGAAGGCCUUCGGGUUGUAAAGUACUUUCAGCGGGGAGGAAGGUGUUGAGGUUAAUAACCUCAGCAAUUGACGUUACCCGCAGAAGAAGCACCGGCUAACUCCGUGCCAGCAGCCGCGGUAAUACGGAGGGUGCAAGCGUUAAUCGGAAUUACUGGGCGUAAAGCGCACGCAGGCGGUCUGUCAAGUCGGAUGUGAAAUCCCCGGGCUCAACCUGGGAACUGCAUUCGAAACUGGCAGGCUAGAGUCUUGUAGAGGGGGGUAGAAUUCCAGGUGUAGCGGUGAAAUGCGUAGAGAUCUGGAGGAAUACCGGUGGCGAAGGCGGCCCCCUGGACAAAGACUGACACUGAGGUGCGAAAGCGUGGGGAGCAAACA